GAUGAACGCUGGCGGCGUGCCUAAUACAUGCAAGUCGAGCGAACGGACGAGAAGCUUGCUUCUCUGAUGUUAGCGGCGGACGGGUGAGUAACACGUGGAUAACCUACCUAUAAGACUGGGAUAACUUCGGGAAACCGGAGCUAAUACCGGAUGAUAUUUUGAACCGCAUGGUUCAAAAGUGAAAGACGGUCUUGCUGUCACUUAUAGAUGGAUCCGCGCUGCAUUAGCUAGUUGGUAAGGUAACGGCUUACCAAGGCAACGAUGCAUAGCCGACCUGAGAGGGUGAUCGGCCACAUGGGAAGGGAGACAGGGUCCAGACUCCUGCGGGAGGCAGCAGUAGGGAAUCUUCCGCAAUGGGCGAGAGCCUGACGGAGCAACGCCGCGUGAGUGAUGAAGGUCUUCGGAUCGUAAAACUCUGUUAUUAGGGAAGAACAUAUGUGUAAGUAACUGUGCACAUCUUGACGGUACCUAAUCAGAAAGCCACGGCUAACUACGUG
This 497-nucleotide ribosomal RNA is filed under the name uncultured bacterium. RNAcentral's name for it is "partial 16S ribosomal RNA". It matches the Rfam family "Bacterial small subunit ribosomal RNA", at positions 28 to 507 of the family's 1533-position model. The record is from RNAcentral.